GUGGUUAUGUUAAAUGUUUGAUGUUGAAAUUGUUGCAUGUUGAAUUCAAACUUUUUAACAAGUCCUUGAUGUUUCAAUUUAAAAGUGACCAAUGGGGCUGAGGCUGUGUCCACUGAGGCUAAGAUGACUGCCUUUCCUGAUUGGCCUUGGCUUUUCCAUACAUUGUGUGACCCUUGCCCUAUGACCCUUUGGCUGACCUUACCGGAAGCCAUGACGACAGCAGCCUUUUGCCAUUAGACGCAGGGUGAUGGUGAGGAUUCCAAGGGUUAGACAAAACUGGUUAAUCUGAACUAGGUGACUGUUACCUUGCGUGUUUUGUGGCCAAACCACCACCAAAAAGCUCACACUGUGAUGUGGUGGAGGUGGAUACAGCAGUCGGAGAACUUCUGGCAGAGACAAAUAUGGACCACCUGUUCGUACAGAAUUCAGACUUAUUGUAGAAAAUCUUUCUAGUCGCUGCAGUUGGCAAGAUUUAAAGGAUUUCAUGAGACAAGCAGGUGAAGUAACCUAUGCGGAUGCUCACAAAGAACGCACAAAUGAAGGAGUUAUUGAGUUUCGCUCCUACUCUGACAUGAAACGUGCGCUGGAUAAACUAGAUGGUACAGAAAUAAAUGGCAGAAAUAUUAGGCUCAUUGAAGAUAAAGCACGAACGAGCCAUAGGCGGUCUUACUCUGGAA
Myotis brandtii (Brandt's bat) is the source of this 677-nucleotide long non-coding RNA. RefSeq lists it as uncharacterized. The transcript is spliced from 3 exons. The record is from RefSeq and is a predicted model, not a curated record. Lineage: Eukaryota; Metazoa; Chordata; Mammalia; Chiroptera; Vespertilionidae.